GCCGGGUGUGGUGGCAUGUGCCUGUAGUCCCAGCUACUCAGGAGGCUGAGGCUGGAGGAUUGCUUGAGUUCAGGAGUUCUGGGCUGUAGUGUGCUAUACCAAUCGGGUGUCUGCACUAAGUUUGGCAUCAAUAUGGUGACCUCCUGGGAGCAGGGGACCACCGGGUUGCUGAAGGAGUGGUGUACCGGCCCCGGUUGGAAAUGGAGCAGCUCAAAACUCCCAUGCUGAUCAGUAGUGGAAUUGUACCUGUGAAUAGCCACUGCACUCCAGCCUGGGCAACAUAGCGAGACCCUGCUUCU
Molecule: signal recognition particle RNA, 299 nt
Filed under: Saimiri boliviensis boliviensis (Bolivian squirrel monkey)
Lineage: Eukaryota; Metazoa; Chordata; Mammalia; Primates; Cebidae
Description: Metazoan signal recognition particle RNA (ENSSBOG00000007642.1)
Rfam family: Metazoan signal recognition particle RNA
About the family: The signal recognition particle (SRP) is a universally conserved ribonucleoprotein.
Source: RNAcentral